AUCUCCGGUAAUUUUUCUUGAUUUAACAUUAAGUAAAUAAUUAAUUGAUUAAUUAAUUAAUUAAUUAAAUGAGCUAAUUGAUUAAUAUGUUGACAGUGAUUUUAAAAUAAAGACAGAUAUAAUUUAUUAUUUAAUUAUAGUAAAGUUAUAGUGUUCGAAUAAAAGUGCGGGGCAACGACAAUGGAUCGAUAAUUGAAAAAAAUAAAAUAAAAUAAAUAAUAAAAAUAAAAAUACCGGAAUAAAAAGAAGUAGAAGUGACCUCAAUAAAUGUUCAGUGUAGCAGUAGUUGAUCGGGAAGUGAUUAAUGAAGUGCAGUUUUAUUUUAAAAUGAGUUUCAUUUAAAUAAUGACAAUUAAAAUGUACAGUUAAUGAAAAAGUGUUUAGUGUCCUUAUGUCUUCGAUUCUUUGAUGCAAUUAAUGAUUUCCUGCCAUCAUCGACAACACCGUGACAAAGAUAUCAGCGAACGUACCAGUGCCAAAGUCCAUGAAUCAGAGCUGAAUUUAUUCGGUGGAUGCCCAAGGGAUUUUCUGUACAUAUAUAUAUGGUUAAAAGGUAAUUUACAUACGGAAGAACAUUAGUUAAUUAGUAUGGACAUAACCAAUGAUUGGUGAUUGGAGCAAUGGCCGCAAACUCACACUACAGUUAAGCCGGGAAUUAUUAGCAGGAUCAUCGUUAAAACUCCAGGUAUGGAUCAGUCAGCUAUUUUCUCUACCCAAGCUCUUUCGUUUAACGGUUUUUCUAUUUUUCGAGUUAGCAAAAUAAAUAAAGUAAAAAGCCGUUGACCUCAACGGUAGUAAGGGGUGAAGGGUCAGAAGCUGGAUAAGAGCCGAGCAAGAGCAAGAGUGCGUUAACAGUCGAUACGUUGCAAUGUGCAAUGGCAAAUAUAUAUUUAAUCCGCAACGCUCCGGGCAAAUCGACAUUUUUAGGAUGAACCAUUUUGCCCACCCCAACCCCAAUGCCAAAUCCCUCUACCCCAUUUCGCAAUUCCCAAUCCCCCAAAAUUCAGUACCAACGACCAUAAUCCAUCGCCCGGCGUGAUAAAGCCCUCCGGCAUUCGUCAUCAUAUCACGUCCAGCGAUAUCGCGAGCGCUAUUUUUUUGGCUUAACUUUCACAUUGUUUUUUAUUCAUUCAUCAUUGCAAUAUUGUUUUUAUUGA
Molecule: long non-coding RNA, 1157 nt
Organism: Microplitis demolitor
Lineage: Eukaryota; Metazoa; Arthropoda; Insecta; Hymenoptera; Braconidae
Exons: 4
Source: RefSeq, a predicted model, not a curated record